Molecule: small nuclear RNA, 105 nt
Filed under: Dasypus novemcinctus (nine-banded armadillo)
Lineage: Eukaryota; Metazoa; Chordata; Mammalia; Cingulata; Dasypodidae
Source: RNAcentral
GUGCUCGCUCUGGCAGCACAUAUACUAAAAUUGGAACACUACAGAGAAGAUUGGCAGCCCCUGAGCCAGGAUGACAUGCAAAUUCAUGAAGUGGUCCGUAUUUUU